This is a long non-coding RNA of Esox lucius (northern pike), 304 nucleotides long. RefSeq lists it as uncharacterized. The transcript has 3 exons. NCBI's taxonomy places the organism in Eukaryota, Metazoa, Chordata, Actinopteri, Esociformes, Esocidae. The record is from RefSeq and is a predicted model, not a curated record.
CCACCACCAUGUCUCUGGGGAUGUCUGCUCCGUCGUCCACGCCUGGGAAACAAACAUGCAGACCACAGGACGUUCGAUCUUUCUCUGCUGGCAGGGACGUUAGGCCCAUUCCUUGUCGGCAGGUCUACUGAGAAGUUGAGGAAACAUUGUUCAUCAGACAACACAACAGUGGAGAAAGAGAGGAAGAGGCAGACAGAGAGGGAUAAAACGCAAAGCUUGGCAGUUCCAAUGCCUGUGUCACUACCCCAGCCCGGCUCCACUGCUCCAGGCAACCGCCCAGGGUAUGGACAAAGAGGACCCGCAC